This 301-nucleotide ribosomal RNA is filed under the name uncultured bacterium. RNAcentral describes it as "partial 16S ribosomal RNA". It matches the Rfam family "Bacterial small subunit ribosomal RNA", at positions 509 to 807 of the family's 1533-position model. The record is from RNAcentral.
CAGUCGCCGCGGGAAUACGAAGGGCGCAAGCGUUACUCGGAAUUACUGGGCGUAAAGCGUGCGUAGGUGGUGGUUUAAGUCCGUUGUGAAAGCCCUGGGCUCAACCUGGGAAUUGCAGUGGAUACUGGGUCACUAGAGUGUGGUAGAGGAUAGUGGAAUUUCCGGUGUAGCAGUGAAAUGCGUAGAGAUCGGAAGGAACAUCUGUGGCGAAGGCGACUAUCUGGGCCAACACUGACACUGAGGCACGAAAGCGUGGGGAGCAAACAGGAUUAGAUACCCGGGUAGUCCCUGUCUCUUAUAC